Molecule: ribosomal RNA, 513 nt
Filed under: uncultured bacterium
Lineage: Bacteria
Description: bacterial SSU rRNA
Rfam family: Bacterial small subunit ribosomal RNA
Source: RNAcentral
AUCCUGGCUCAGGAUGAACGCUAGCUACAGGCUUAACACAUGCAAGUCGAGGGGCAGCAUUGGGAUAGCUUGCUAUUCAGAUGGCGACCGGCGCACGGGUGAGUAACGCGUAUCCAACCUUCCUGCCAGUAGGGAACAGCCCGGCGAAAGUCGGAUUAAUGCCCUAUGUUCUUCAAUGCGGACAUCUAAGUUGAAGGAAAGAUUCAUCGCUGGCAGAUGGGGAUGCGUCCGAUUAGCUUGCCGGCGGGGUAACGGCCCACCGGGGCGACGAUCGGUAGGGGUUCUGAGAGGAAGGUCCCCCACACUGGUACUGAGACACGGACCAGACUCCUACGGGAGGCAGCAGUGAGGAAUAUUGGUCAAUGGGCGUAAGCCUGAACCAGCCAAGUAGCGUGCAGGAAUGACGGCCCUACGGGUUGUAAACUGCUUUUAUGCGGGGAUAAAGUGCGGCACGUGUGCCGCUUUGCAGGUACCGCAUGAAUAAGGACCGGCUAAUUCCGUGCCAGCAGCUGC